UCCAAAACAUUUUAAUUUUUUUCUCUUGGUGUUGCUAUUUUGUAGGAAACUCCAGAACACAUAAGUUCCAAAAUACAAAUUAUUGAAAUUCAGUUUCCCAGAUGCUUCAAGGUAGAGAAGAUAGCUCGAAAUAAGCAAACCGGGCUGCUGGAAAUGGCAUUCCCUAGGGAGUUCAUCUCAGCAGAGAGGAAAAGAGCAGCCUAAGUGGGAGCACGGGUGACGGGGUCAGCGGCUCCAGGGGCGGGUGGGAGGCACACGGGUGACGGCAGCCAGCGGCGGGACCAGCUCCGUCCCGGGCGCGCCGCUCCUGCGAGGAUCCCCCAGCGCCACGAAGGCUGGAUGAGUGUCGCUGAUUUAUCUAUAAGCCAGUUCUGAAGCCCUCUGCGGAGAUCUGCCUGGGAGGAAAAGCAGAGCCAAGCACUGAGAACUGACAUGUGAGCUCUGGUGAGGACUGCCACUCCCCCUGCCUUGGUGUGGGACCUCCUGAGCUCCCAUUCCUGUUCUGGGAGUGUUUCUCCUCUCAUCCAGCCAAGCCACAGACCUCCUAGGGAACAAGCAGGUGUUGUAAUGCGCAUCCAAUUUCCAGUUGUGUUAUAUUCCCUGUUUGU
RNAcentral lists this long non-coding RNA (608 nucleotides) under Serinus canaria (Common canary). RNAcentral describes it as "lncRNA (ENSSCAG00000011871.1)". Lineage: Eukaryota; Metazoa; Chordata; Aves; Passeriformes; Fringillidae. The record is from RNAcentral.